Molecule: ribosomal RNA, 281 nt
Filed under: uncultured bacterium
Lineage: Bacteria
Description: partial 16S ribosomal RNA
Rfam family: Bacterial small subunit ribosomal RNA
Source: RNAcentral
UUGCCUGCACCUGCCGGCGACCGGCGCACGGGUGAGUAACACGUAUGGAACCUGCCCGCCACAGGGGGAUAACCCGGGGAAACCCGGCCUAAUACCCCAUGCCGCCCGGACCGGGCAUCCGGUCCGGGCGAAAGGAGGAAUCCGGUGGCGGCUGGGCAUGCGGCGCAUUAGCUUGACGGCGGGGUAACGGCCCACCGUGGCGACGAUGCGUAGGGGUUCUGAGAGGAAGGUCCCCCACAUUGGAACUGAGACACGGUCCAAACUCCUACGGGAGGCAGCAG